CAAUUUGCAACAGUUGGACUUACAUGCCAAUUGCAAUACAAACUAUAUAUAUUACUGAUUGAUUCCUAAAUGUAGAAGAAAUCUAUGGUGGUAAGGGCAUGCAAUUAGUUACCUGAACUAAGAACAAGACCAACCAUCUGUGUAUCACAUGAACUCCUACGCUAACUCAUAUAACACCCAUAUUUGAUUCAGAUAUGCUUCUACAUGAAUGACCACCUCUGAAGAAAACAACAUACUAUACUACACCUGCACAUUGACCAAUUAACUCUCGUGUAUCACAACAAGAAAAUUGAAUAAAAAAAAAAAAAAGGGAAAAAAAGAAGUAGAGCUUACUGUCUAAUCUCAUAAGCAGCCCUAAGAUGAAGAAUUGAUCAUUGUGCUUACCUUCUCCACAAGCACUUUCAUUUCACAUUCCAAAAUGGAUUUCAGAUCUUGGGAUAUUUUACCCUCUGAUGUCUCCAGCAAUGAUCUUAUCAUCUCAAGCUUCUGUUUUAUGUAGUUCAGUUGGGACACAUCACUUCCAGAAGAUUGUGAUGCAGAUGGCGUGUCUGCUGUCUUUGUUCCCUCCUUAGCCAAAGAAGAAGGCUUUGAACUAGAUCUCUCUUUCAGUUCCUGAGUCUUGGUUUCAGCCAAGCGAUAGCGAAGCCGGAAAGCCACACUAGCAGAUCCAAAGGGACUAGAAAGUUGAGAAUUAUUGAAUGCCUCUUCUGCCUCGGUACUCUUUAAGAACACAACCCUUGCACAGUAAUUAGUGUAGAGCAUAUCAGUUUCGUCUUUGUUUAAAGCCCCAAAUUUUCCAUAUAUUUUAAGAAGAUCAUUCUUUGAAGGCAAAGAAGAUCCUGGACCAAAUGACACAAAAAGUGUAGCACCUGAAGGUGCCCCUUUAGAUUCCUUUUCCUUCGUCUUCAUUUCUGGUGCACUGACAGCUUGUUUUCCUUUAACCUUAUCCAAUUUGGCUUCUUCACUCUUUUUGGUUUUUGUCCGAUGGGAUUUAAGUUCAGGUGAACUGUGGUCAGACUGAUUUUGCCCAGUUUCAAAUUUUUGCGACUUCUUCUUUCUACCCGGAAGAUGUUCUAUGUGCAUUUCAUAAUCGGACCCAUUGCUAUAUAUUGAACUUCUGAAUGCAGAAAAAAAUUCCUCAACCAUAUCAUGUGAGCUGGUUUCUUUCAGAUACUGCGGACUAAGAGCUGCAGACCUUAUUUUAGAUAGAACUUCACUUGCAGGUGUCUUAACUAUCAUCAGAUCAAUUU
RNAcentral lists this unclassified non-coding RNA (1250 nucleotides) under Hevea brasiliensis (rubber tree). Lineage: Eukaryota; Viridiplantae; Streptophyta; Magnoliopsida; Malpighiales; Euphorbiaceae. The record is from RNAcentral.